GUGAGGAAUUUUCCGCAAUGGGCGAAAGCCUGACGGAGCAAUGCCGCGUGAAGGAUGAAGGCCUAUGGGUUGUAAACUUUUUUUCUCAGAAAAGAAUUAUGACGGUAUCUGAGGAAUAAGCAUCGGCUAACUCUGUGCCAGCAGCCGCGGUAAGACAGAGGAUGCAAGCGUUAUCCGGAAUGAUUGGGCGUAAAGCGUCUGUAGGUUGUUUAAAAAGUAUUCUGUCAAAGAUUAGGGCUUAACCCUAGAUAGGCAGAAUAAACUUUUAAGCUAGAGUUUGGUAGAGGCAGAGGGAAUUCCCGGUGGAGCGGUGAAAUGCGUAGAUAUCGGGAGGAACACCAAAGGCGAAGGCACUCUGCUGGGCCAAUACUAACACUGAGAGACGAAAGCGAGGGGAGCAAAUGGGAUUAGAUACCCUAGUAGUCC
Molecule: ribosomal RNA, 426 nt
Filed under: uncultured bacterium
Lineage: Bacteria
Description: bacterial SSU rRNA
Rfam family: Bacterial small subunit ribosomal RNA
Source: RNAcentral